Molecule: unclassified non-coding RNA, 260 nt
Filed under: fungal sp.
Lineage: Eukaryota; Fungi
Description: partial internal transcribed spacer region
Rfam family: Eukaryotic small subunit ribosomal RNA (bases 1-46)
Source: RNAcentral
AAGUCGUAACAAGGUUUCCGUAGGUGAACCUGCGGAAGGAUCAUUACCGAGUUCAUGGGCGUUCUAACCGGACCCCAAGCUCCCACCCUUUGUGUACCGUACCUUGUUGCUUUGGCGGGCCUGCGCGCCUUGAAAAGGCGCGCUGCUGGCCCUGCUGGCUUGCGCCCGCCAGAGGCUCAUCAAACUCCCGUUUUUAUCAGUGCCGUCUGAGUACAAACCUAACAAGUUUAAAACUUUCAACAACGGAUCUCUUGGUUCUG